This 274-nucleotide ribosomal RNA is filed under the name uncultured bacterium. RNAcentral describes it as "partial 16S ribosomal RNA". It matches the Rfam family "Bacterial small subunit ribosomal RNA", at positions 524 to 796 of the family's 1533-position model. The record is from RNAcentral.
UACGGAGGGUGCGAGCGUUGUUCGGAAUCAUUGGGCGUAAAGCGCGCGCAGGCGGUCUGGGAAGUCUAUGGGUGAAAUGCCGGGGCUCAACUCCGUGCGUGCCCAGGAUACUCCCAGGCUGGAGACAUGUAGAGGCGAGCGGAAUUCCGGGUGUAGCGGUGGAAUGCGUAGAGAUCCGGAAGAACACCAGAGGCGAAGGCGGCUCGCUGGGCAUGAUCUGACGCUGAGGCGCGAAAGCGUGGGGAGCGAACAGGAUUAGAUACCCCCGUAGUCC